UACGAAGGGUGCAAACGUUGCUCGGAAUUAUUGGGCGUAAAGCGCACGUAGGCGGCUUUGCAAGUUCGAUGUGAAAUCCCUCGGCUCAACCAAGGAAGUGCAUCGAAAACUGCAGAGCUUGAGUAGUUAAGAGGAUCGCGGAAUUCCCGGUGUAGAGGUGAAAUUCGUAGAUAUCGGGAGGAACACCAGUGGCGAAGGCGGCUUCCUGGCCUGUUCUUGACGCUGAGGCGCGAAAGCUAGGGGAGCAAACGGG
This 253-nucleotide ribosomal RNA is filed under the name uncultured bacterium. RNAcentral describes it as "partial 16S ribosomal RNA". It matches the Rfam family "Bacterial small subunit ribosomal RNA", at positions 524 to 776 of the family's 1533-position model. The record is from RNAcentral.